AUUUCUUUUUUUGCAUGCCGAAUCAAUGUGCACGCAACUUCGGAGCUACGAUCUUUUUUCUGAAUGAACAGCUUCAUCAACACUUGUAACUAGGUUGUCAAACUAAUAUCCGGGAUAGACGGAAAAGACACCAACAGUCUCCGAUCUGAUUGACCAAAUCAUCUCUCUCUCUUCUGAUUUUUUUUGUUGUGAAAACGACGUGGAUGCACGUGCUGUCGUGCCUCCGGGUAGCUACGCCCCUG
This 242-nucleotide long non-coding RNA is filed under the name Mytilus galloprovincialis (Mediterranean mussel). Lineage: Eukaryota; Metazoa; Mollusca; Bivalvia; Mytilida; Mytilidae. The record is from RNAcentral.